This is a long non-coding RNA of Corythoichthys intestinalis (scribbled pipefish), 217 nucleotides long. RefSeq lists it as uncharacterized. The transcript is spliced from 3 exons. The record is from RefSeq and is a predicted model, not a curated record. Lineage: Eukaryota; Metazoa; Chordata; Actinopteri; Syngnathiformes; Syngnathidae.
GAUGCUAUGAAUGCUAAUGGAGAAACUGCUAAUGCUAGCGCGUGAGACUCAGACUAAAGAGAAACUGACGAGUUCCAGACUGCUCUAAUGGGCGAAUUAUUUUGAGUUAUUCUGUGUGAUACAAGACUCCGUUCACCGCCACCUGCCUUGCUGCCUUUCGUUUCCCUGCAUUUGGGUCCACACCACCUGCCUGCCCGGUUUUCCUGACAAUUUCAAU